UUCAUUAAUGCUAUGAUUCAGUGACCAAAAGUCACAUUCUAAGAAUUUAAAGAAGACAGUAGGAGACAGUUUACAAAGCAGUUAGCAAUUAUACUAUAUUUUUCCACCUGAUCUGCAAUGCAGUUAUAUAGAGUGAGUAAACUUCAUUCCUGAAUAUGCUGUGCCUCCAUAGUGUUCAAGACAUGACUUCUGCAAGCAGUCUGCCAGAAGACUUUGAAGAAUUUUAUGCAAACUUCCUUGAGUGUGUCACCGUACACAAGGGUCUUCCAAGGAAAAAAUUGUCAGAGGAGACUCUCUCCUUCCAUUAAUGGAUAUUUCAAAUUUGGAAAGAAUUCAAGAGACUGCAGUAAGGU
This is a long non-coding RNA of Anolis carolinensis (green anole), 353 nucleotides long. RefSeq lists it as uncharacterized. The transcript is spliced from 3 exons. The record is from RefSeq and is a predicted model, not a curated record. Lineage: Eukaryota; Metazoa; Chordata; Lepidosauria; Squamata; Anolidae.